This 305-nucleotide ribosomal RNA is filed under the name uncultured bacterium. RNAcentral describes it as "bacterial SSU rRNA". It matches the Rfam family "Bacterial small subunit ribosomal RNA", at positions 337 to 658 of the family's 1533-position model. The record is from RNAcentral.
GCCUACGGGGGGCAGCAGUGGGGAAUAUUGCACAAUGGGGGAAACCCUGAUGCAGCAACGCCGCGUGAAGGAAGACGGUUUUCGGAUUGUAAACUUCUGUUCUUAGUGAAGAAAAAUGACGGUACCUCAUGAAUAAGCCACGGCUAACUACGUGCCAGCAGCCGCGGUAAUACGUAGGUGGCAAGCGUUAUCCGGAUUUACUGGGUGUAAAGGGCGUGUAGGCGGGACUGCAAGUCAGAUGUGAAAAUUAUGGGCUCAACCCAUAACCUGCAUUUGAAAAUGUAGUUCUUGAGUGAUGGAGAGGG